Molecule: long non-coding RNA, 416 nt
Organism: Lemur catta (Ring-tailed lemur)
Lineage: Eukaryota; Metazoa; Chordata; Mammalia; Primates; Lemuridae
Exons: 3
Source: RefSeq, a predicted model, not a curated record
GCGUGUGGCGCGGGCUUCCUCCGGGGAGGUCCCGGUCCUUGCAGCCCGCGGCCGCGUCCUUGGCCCUCCUCCAGGGGAACCUCGAUUUUCCAAACUCGGGAAGGCCGGCUGUCCUUCGGCUACUGAUAAGGACGCGAGCGCACGGUAAAAGAUUUUAACAAUGCCCGGAAAGAAAUAGCCGGACCCAAGAAAGAGACUAAUAAUAGCCGCCAGCUAGAACUCUGCUCGUGUGCUCAGCGCCCUUAAGAACAAUAACGACAACAGCCAUAAUAGCCACCAUUUAUUGAGCGCUUACUCUGUGCCAGGCACUGUGUUAAGCGCUUGGCAGGCAACAACCCUCGGAGCCCUGAGAGGUGUGGACCAGUAUUGCCAUUUGAUGGAUGAGGUCACAAGGCUGGUUCUCACUCUGAUGCCCA